Molecule: long non-coding RNA, 1394 nt
Organism: Bos taurus (domestic cattle)
Lineage: Eukaryota; Metazoa; Chordata; Mammalia; Artiodactyla; Bovidae
Source: Ensembl
UUUUUAAUGAAGUCAGGAUCCAUUUUCCCUGCCCUUCUGUCCUGUUUAGAGCCGUCCAGCCACAGCUGACGCUGGGAAACAUUCCUGAAUGAAUUAAGAACAGCCGGGGAGAAAGCGGAGUCGGGUGGAGGCGAAAGACCAGCGGCAGGUGGACAGAGGGAGGAAGGACAGAGAGGAGGGGUCGCCCCCACAAGGGCCAGGCCGGGAGUCUGGAGGAGCCCCCUGCCGGGAAUGCAGCUGGGGAAAGAGGUUAUUAGGUGCAGUCCUGAGAACGGGGCAGGGAUGAGAGGCAGGGAAUUUGUUACUCGAAAACUGGGCUCGACUCGGUGGACGUUGCGCCAAGAGACACAGUCAAGCCAAACAGCGGGAGAAGGAAGCAUUUAUUACUUGCAGCAAUUCGCUCUGUUUUUCUUCACCCUUGCCUUCCAUUCUGGGAGGGAAGAUCCACCUCAACAGGGUGGGCUCCUCUCACGAGCCCACCUCCGGCGGCCCCCUCCCUCGGACCUUGCCAAGACACCGAGACGAGCUCCAGGACAGGACUCUCCACUUGCCUUCUGGACUGACAUCCACACACUGGCCCACAUUUCAUCCCUCAGUUGCAAGGGGUCACGAUGUCUCAUCUCCUUGAUCUGAAUGUCACGAGGGAGCCUUGGGAUUGCUCAGACGUGAAAGGAAGCCUGUCAUUCUGCUGGGUUGGUCGGUGGUUUCUCCUCUCUGCUGCCUUCCUGCAAAGCGGAUCGCUGUCAAGAUUGAAAAAUGUAAACAUGUCUGACAAAGCCCCCUUUCACAGAGAGCUAUGUGCUUGCUGUUGCAGCCAAUGCUGUGAUGAGUAUCCCUGCCCCAUGUGGCCGGGCAGGGAGACGUUCCCAUGGGACCAUCCACGACGUCAACCUCCACUGCAAUCCCUCCCCUCCUGGGGUCUCCUGCAGACUCUCCUUGGAGUUCCUGGGCUGAGCAUUUGCCAGAAGCUAGAGUCAGAUGGGGACUAGGUUCAAAUACCAGUUGCUCCAUCAACAUCUCUCCCUGCGUCAGUGUUCUCAUCCCUACAAAGGAGACGAUAAUCAUGGUACCACUUCCGGAGUUGUCUUGAGUAUUACAUGCAAUAACGUGUUAUAGCCCCUGGAUCAGGGGAAGGACUCAGGAUGGCUCGCUGCCCUCUCCUUCCCCCUCUGAUAUCCCAUCUACCCUAUGGAGUCCCAAGCUUUGCAUGUGGGCCCUGGUCUAGUCGUCUGCACCCCGCAGCUUCCCCGGAUGUGGAUGUGGUGGUGCACAAUAAAUAAAUGGCCCCUGCAUGUGCCGUGAGGCGCAGUCCUCCAGCUUUGGCCUGACCCCCACUCCGCUAGGCCUGGGGGAUGGGGAGGAGUAGAGGUGCCUUUCUCUGGAUGGUCCACAGC